This 253-nucleotide ribosomal RNA is filed under the name uncultured bacterium. RNAcentral describes it as "partial 16S ribosomal RNA". It matches the Rfam family "Bacterial small subunit ribosomal RNA", at positions 524 to 776 of the family's 1533-position model. The record is from RNAcentral.
UACGGGGGGGGCUAGCGUUGCUCGGAAUCACUGGGCGUAAAGGGUGCGUAGGCGGGUCUUUAAGUCAGGGGUGAAAUCCUGGAGCUCAACUCCAGAACUGCCUUUGAUACUGAGGAUCUUGAGUUCGGGAGAGGUGAGUGGAACUGCGAGUGUAGAGGUGAAAUUCGUAGAUAUUCGCAAGAACACCAGUGGCGAAGGCGGCUCACUGGCCCGAUACUGACGCUGAGGCACGAAAGCGUGGGGAGCAAACAGG